AGCUCCAAUAGCGUAUAUUAAAGUUGUUGCAGUUAAAAAGCUCGUAGUUGGAUUUCUGGGAGGGUGCCAAUGUCCGCUCGUUCGCGUGUGCAGCGGCGCCCUUCCAUCCUUCUGUUAACGUUUCUUGGUAUUCAGUUACUGGUUUCGGGCUCAGAUAUUUUACCUUGAGAAAAUUAGAGUGUUUCAGGCAGGCUUGCGCCGGAAUACAUUAGCAUGGAAUAAUAGAAUAGGACUUUAGUCUCCUUUGUUGGUUUGAGGGACUGAAGUAAUGAUUAAUAGGGAUAGUUGGGGGCAUUAGUAUUUAAUUGUCAGAGGUGAAAUUCUCGGAUUUGUUAAAGACUAACUUAUGCGAAAGCAUUUGCCAAGGAUGUUUUCA
RNAcentral lists this ribosomal RNA (376 nucleotides) under uncultured eukaryote. Its description in RNAcentral is "SSU rRNA". It matches the Rfam family "Eukaryotic small subunit ribosomal RNA", at positions 587 to 972 of the family's 1831-position model. The record is from RNAcentral.